GUGCUUGCUUCAGUAGCACAUAUCCUAAAAUUGGAAUGAUACAGAGAAGAUUAGCAUGGCCCUGUGUAAGGAUCACAUGCAAAUUUGUGAAGCGUUCCAUAAUUUU
Small nuclear RNA from Neofelis nebulosa (Clouded leopard), 106 nucleotides. The record is from RefSeq and is a predicted model, not a curated record. Lineage: Eukaryota; Metazoa; Chordata; Mammalia; Carnivora; Felidae.